UCUGUUCAUCUCCUUUGCCCAUUUUUGAUGGGAUUGUUUGUUUUUUUCUUGCUAAUUUGUUUGAGUUCCUUGUACAUUCUAGAUAUCAGUCCUUUGUUGAGUGUAUA
This is a long non-coding RNA of Cebus imitator (Panamanian white-faced capuchin), 107 nucleotides long. RefSeq lists it as uncharacterized. The record is from RefSeq and is a predicted model, not a curated record. Lineage: Eukaryota; Metazoa; Chordata; Mammalia; Primates; Cebidae. The transcript is spliced from 3 exons.